Molecule: ribosomal RNA, 425 nt
Filed under: uncultured bacterium
Lineage: Bacteria
Description: bacterial SSU rRNA
Rfam family: Bacterial small subunit ribosomal RNA
Source: RNAcentral
GUUGGGAAUCUUGGACAAUGGGGGAAACCCUGAUCCAGCCAUGCCGCGUGAGUGAUGAAGGCCUUCGGGUUGUAAAACUCUUUCGACGGGGACGAUAAUGACGGUACCCGUAGAAGAAGCUCCGGCUAACUUCGUGCCAGCAGCCGCGGUAAUACGAAGGGGGCUAGCGUUGUUCGGAAUUACUGGGCGUAAAGCGCGCGCAGGCGGUUUUUCAAGUCAGUGGUGAAAGCCCGGAGCUCAACUCCGGAACUGCCAUUGAAACUGUAAAACUUGAGGACGAGAGAGGUGAGUGGAAUUCCCAGUGUAGAGGUGAAAUUCGUAGAUAUUGGGAAGAACACCGGUGGCGAAGGCGGCUCACUGGCUCGUAUCUGACGCUCAGGCGCGACAGCGUGGGGAUCAAACAGGAUUAGAAACCCUUGUAGUCC